GCCCCCGUAGCUCAGGGGAUAGAGCAACUGCCUUCUAAGCAGUGGGCCGCAGGUUCGAAUCCUGCCGGGGGCGCCA
Molecule: transfer RNA, 76 nt
Filed under: Dehalococcoidia bacterium
Lineage: Bacteria; Bacillati; Chloroflexota; Dehalococcoidia
Also listed under: 1 other name
Description: tRNA-Arg
Rfam family: tRNA
About the family: Transfer RNA (tRNA) molecules are approximately 80 nucleotides in length. Their secondary structure includes four short double-helical elements and three loops (D, anti-codon, and T loops). Further hydrogen bonds mediate the characteristic L-shaped molecular structure. tRNAs have two regions of fundamental functional importance: the anti-codon, which is responsible for specific mRNA codon recognition, and the 3' end, to which the tRNAs corresponding amino acid is attached (by aminoacyl-tRNA synthetases). tRNAs cope with the degeneracy of the genetic code in two manners: having more than one tRNA (with a specific anti-codon) for a particular amino acid; and 'wobble' base-pairing, i.e. permitting non-standard base-pairing at the 3rd anti-codon position.
Source: RNAcentral